RNAcentral lists this ribosomal RNA (505 nucleotides) under uncultured bacterium. RNAcentral describes it as "partial 16S ribosomal RNA". It matches the Rfam family "Bacterial small subunit ribosomal RNA", at positions 30 to 523 of the family's 1533-position model. The record is from RNAcentral.
AUUGAACGCUGGCGGCAUGCCUUACACAUGCAAGUCGAACGGCAGCACGGGUGCUUGCACCUGGUGGCGAGUGGCGAACGGGUGAGUAAUCCAUCGGAACGUACCUUAUCGUGGGGGAUAACAAAUUGAAAAAUUUGCUAAUACCGCAUAAUACUCUGAGGAGGAAAGCGGGGGAUUCGUAAGAACGUCGUGCGAUUAGAGCGGCCGAUGGCUGAUUAGCUAGUUUGUGAGGUAAAGGUCCACCAAGGCAACGAUCAGUAGCAGCUCUGAGAGGAUGAUCUGGCACACUGGAACUGAGAAACGGUCCAGACUCCUACGGGAGGCAGCAGUGGGGAAUUUUGGACAAUGGACGAAAGUCUGAUCCAGCAAUGCCGCGUGAGUGAAGAAGGCCUUCGGGUUGUAAAGCUCUUUUGUCAGUGAAGAAAACUUUAGUAAUAACACUAUUAAAGCAUGACGGUAACUGAAGAAUAAGGACCGGCUAACUACGUGCCAGCCGCCGCGGUAA